GACGAACGCUGGCGGCGUGCUUAACACAUGCAAGUCGAACGGAAAGGCCCGCUUUCCCUUGUGGAUUGCGGGUACUCGAGUGGCGAACGGGUGAGUAACACCUGAGUUAUCUGCCCCCAUCUUUGCUAUAAGCCUGGGAAACUGGGUCUAAUUCCCGCUAGGACUGCAGGGUGGUGCCUGUGGUGGCAAACGAUUUUCUAGUGCUUGGGGAUGAGCUCGCGGCCUAUCAGCUUGUUGGUGGGGUAUUGGCCUACCAAGGCGGCGACGGGUAGCCGGCCUGAGAGAGCGGACCUGAGCAUGGGGACUGAGAUACUGGCCAGACGCUAACGGGCGGAAGCCGUGGGGAAGAUUGCGUGAGGGACAGAAGCCUGAGGCAGCGACGCUGAGUGGGGAAUGACGGGCUUCGGGUGGUAGCCUCCUUUCGACAGCGAGGAAGCCACCUGGUUGGAAGGGUGGUGACGGUAGUGGUAGAAGAAGCACCGGCUAACUACGUG
This 494-nucleotide ribosomal RNA is filed under the name uncultured bacterium. RNAcentral's name for it is "partial 16S ribosomal RNA". It matches the Rfam family "Bacterial small subunit ribosomal RNA", at positions 28 to 507 of the family's 1533-position model. The record is from RNAcentral.